AAUGAACGCUGGCGGCGCGCCUAAUACAUGCAAGUCGAGCGAGAAGACGUAGCAAUACGUUUGUAAAGCGGCGAACGGGUGAGGAAUACAUGGGUAACCUACCCUCGAGUGGGGAAUAACUAGCCGAAGGUUAGCUAAUACCGCGUACGCUCCUUGGACUUCGGUUCAGGGAGGAAAGCGAUACCGUGGGUAUCGCGCUCUUGGUUGGGCUCAUGUCCUAUCAGCUUGUUGGUGAGGUAACGGCUCACCAAGGCUUCGACGGGUAGCUGGUCUGAGAGGACGAUCAGCCACACUGGCACUGCGACACGGGCCAGACUCCUACGGGAGGCAGCAGUAAGGAAUAUUGCGCAAUGGGCGAAAGCCUGACGCAGCGACGCCGCGUGGGGGAUGAAGGUCUUUGGAUUGUAAACCCCUUUCGGGAGGGAAGAUGGGACGAGCAAUCGUUCGGACGGUACCUCCAGAAGCAGCCACGGCUAACUUCGUGCC
Molecule: ribosomal RNA, 486 nt
Filed under: uncultured bacterium
Lineage: Bacteria
Description: bacterial SSU rRNA
Rfam family: Bacterial small subunit ribosomal RNA
Source: RNAcentral